GACGAACGCUGGCGGCGUGCUUAACACAUGCAAGUCGAACGGAAAGGCCCUGCUUUUGUGGGGUGCUCGAGUGGCGAACGGGUGAGUAACACGUGAGUAACCUGCCCUUGACUUUGGGAUAACUUCAGGAAACUGGGGCUAAUACCGGAUAGGAGCUCCUGCUGCAUGGUGGGGGUUGGAAAGUUUCGGCGGUUGGGGAUGGACUCGCGGCUUAUCAGCUUGUUGGUGGGGUAGUGGCUUACCAAGGCUUUGACGGGUAGCCGACCUGAGAGGGUGACCGGCCACAUUGGGACUGAGGUACGGCCCAGACGCCAACGGGAGGCAGCAGUGGGGAAUAUGACACAAUGAGCGGAAGCCUGAUGCAGCAACGCCGCGUGCGGGAUGACGGCCUGCUGGUUGUAAACCGCUUUCGCCUGUGACGAAGCGUGAGUGACGGUAAUGGAUAAAGAAGCACCGGCUAACUACGUG
Molecule: ribosomal RNA, 468 nt
Filed under: uncultured bacterium
Lineage: Bacteria
Description: partial 16S ribosomal RNA
Rfam family: Bacterial small subunit ribosomal RNA
Source: RNAcentral